CAGUAGCCGCGGUAAUACGGAGGGGGCUAGCGUUGUUCGGAAUUACUGGGCGUAAAGCGCACGUAGGCGGCUUGGUAAGUUAGAGGUGAAAGCCUGGAGCUCAACUCCAGAAUUGCCUUUAAGACUGCCGAGCUAGCAGGUGAGAGAGGUAAGUGGAAUUCCGAGUGUAGAGGUGAAAUUCGUAGAUAUUCGGAAGAACACCAGUGGCGAAGGCGGAUUACUGGCUCAUACUGGACGCUGAGGUGCGAAAGCGUGGGGAGCAAACAGGAUUAGAUACCCCAGUAGUCCCUGUCUCUUAUAC
Molecule: ribosomal RNA, 301 nt
Filed under: uncultured bacterium
Lineage: Bacteria
Description: partial 16S ribosomal RNA
Rfam family: Bacterial small subunit ribosomal RNA
Source: RNAcentral